Molecule: long non-coding RNA, 1006 nt
Filed under: Phaseolus vulgaris (common bean)
Lineage: Eukaryota; Viridiplantae; Streptophyta; Magnoliopsida; Fabales; Fabaceae
Description: long non-coding RNA (PVUL_LNC003026)
Source: RNAcentral
AAUAAUAGCAUCCCACGGAACCUCAGCUGGAUUUCUUCUUAUGGCCACAUCAACCUGUAAUAAUGCAAUCUAGGAUCGUUGGUAGAAACAUGUCAUUUCCAACGUUGUUUUUGCAAAAAUAAAUAAUAUUUAAAAUUAAAAUAAAUAUACAAAUGUAUUCAUACGUAAAUAAAAAUUAAUAAUUAUAAAUUAUUUUUUUACUGAUUUUAAAAUAGAUCCAACGAGGUGUCUAAGUUAAGUUAUGAAUGUUUGAAAAUCAUCUGCCACAUUAAUUAUCUCAUAUGUUAGCACAUGAACUAUAACAUCAACAAUAUACAUUUUCUCGACCAUAACCUUCACCACAUUAGGUGGAACUACAUUUGUAAAAUAGUGACCUCAAGACUUUCCCCAAGAUCACCAGCCAAGGAAUAAAAUCAUCUUCCACAUAUAACUCACAUUCGCAUGUCGAGCCAAUGUCAUCAUCCUCUUAUUGAUUAUCAGCUGCAUAACUCCGCAUGUUCUAACUAUCAUUGUGGAAGCCAUAAAGCUCUGUUGUGCAGGAGGUGUUAUGAUAAACCUAAGAUCUUGAGGGGCUGCUCAAACAUAUACCUCAACUUCUUAGUAACCUCCUCUAUCACCUCCUAUGUGAUAUGCUAUCUCAAUAUAGAAUGGCUUCCUGACUGGGUAUAAAUAAUUUAAAUAAUAAUUUAAUUUAACUAAGAAUCUAAUUAAUAAUCUAACUAACUAAUUAAAUUUAACUUUACAAUUAUAAUUAAAAUAUUAUCGAUUAAUAAAUAUUAUCUAACAUAUACUACAUUCAUGAAAAAUAAUAAUGACAAACAUUAAAAUAAAAUAAAAUAAAAAAUACCAUAAAAAUUUAACUAACCUAGUGAAGGAGACAUAGGUGGCCGACUGUGACGGAGGUGGCUGCAAGUGGCUGGAGGACCAAAGAACCAACACAUAAUGCGUGGCUAUGGAGGAACGAUGGUUCUUUACCAACUCAAAAUGCAAAUAAAACUCACACCAA